The sequence is a non-coding RNA, 315 nucleotides long. It matches the Rfam family "RNA of unknown function 20", at positions 1 to 331 of the family's 425-position model.
ACGUGGGCUCUCUGAAUUACAAGAUUAUGCAACCACACAGGAACCUUACAUAAGCGUAAGCCGUUAAUUGCUGGAUUCAGGAAAUAAAACUCUACUAAUAGCGGGGAAUAACAGAGGUUUGAAGGUGCACUUGAUCUUAUCAGUAAUAUAUAUAUAUAUAUAUAUAUAUAGAUGUGUGUAUGUACACAUUUUUAACGCAAGGAGGCAAGAGAAGCCAUUGAUAGCGUUCUCCUGUUCGGCUAUUCUGUUUUUAUUCUUUUUCUAAACACUUGCAACCAUCUGAAUGAUAGCUACUGAAGGAGGAGCCCAUCCCUG